This 677-nucleotide small RNA is filed under the name Pongo abelii (Sumatran orangutan). RNAcentral's name for it is "processed transcript". Lineage: Eukaryota; Metazoa; Chordata; Mammalia; Primates; Hominidae. The record is from RNAcentral.
GCCCCAGGCCCUCCUCCCGGGUCUCCCCCACCAUAGCGUUUCCCCGCUGAGUACCCCCUGUCUGCCUUCGCUGUCUGCCCCAGGCCUUCUGGCGGCCGCCCGUGGUUUCUCCUGGGGAGUGAUGAGCGGGAGCGGCUCUGGGCCGAGCUGCUGCGCACGGUGAGCCCAGAGCUGAUCCUGGAUCACGAGGUGCCUCCACUGCCCGCCUUCCCUGGACAGGAGCCCAGGUGCGGCCCGGAGCCCACUGAAGUCUUCACUGUCGGACCCAAGACCUUUUCCUGGACACCCUUUCCGCCGGACCUGUGGGGCCCGGGCCGUUCCUAUCGGCUGCUUCGCGGGGCAGGAGGGCACCUGGAAUCCCCCGCCAGGUCCCUGCCCCAGCGCCCGGCACCUGAUCCCUGCAGGGCCCCCAGGGUGGAGCAGCAGCCGUCUGUGGAGGGUGCCGCGGCCCUGCGCAGCUGCCCCAUGUGCCAGAAGGAGUUCGCCCCCAGGCUGAGCCAGCUGGAUGUUGACAGCCACCUGGCCCAGUGUUUGGCCGAAAGCACAGAAGACGCGAUGUGGUGAGCGCCAUCCGGAGAGCCCUGCGCAGUGUGUGACGCCCGGACACGCGCUCUCCCGCCAGAAGCCCCGCCUCUCGGCUCCCCCGCAUGCGCAUUAAAGCAGGGCGGGCUCCUGUC